AUUGAACGCUGGCGGCAUGCCUAACACAUGCAAGUCGAACGGAGCGGCGGCCGGGGGCUUAAUGUCUAGUCAUCUGCCUGCUAGUGGGGGACAACGUCCGUCAACGGGACAUAAUACCGCAUAAUAUCACCUGAGCUUAGGUCGUACUAGCUAGUUGGUUGGGUAAAGGCCUACAAGGGCGACGAUCAGUAACUGGUAUGAGAGGAUAAUCAGUAACACUGGAACUGAGACACGGUCCAGACUCCUACGGGAGGCAGAGGGGGGAAAUAUUGGACAAUGGGCGAAAGCCUGAUCCAGCCAUGCCGCGUGUGUGAAGAAGGUUUUCGGAUUGAAAAGCACGUUAAUUUGGGAGGCGUGACCAAAAGAAUAAGCACCGGCGAACUUCGUGCCAGCAGCCGCGGUAAUAC
RNAcentral lists this ribosomal RNA (407 nucleotides) under uncultured bacterium. RNAcentral describes it as "partial 16S ribosomal RNA". It matches the Rfam family "Bacterial small subunit ribosomal RNA", at positions 30 to 526 of the family's 1533-position model. The record is from RNAcentral.